UCCUCCUCGCCGCACGACGCCUAUCUCCGAAAGCAUCGAAGACUCGAUCAAGAAAAGCACCAGCAUUCGCCGAAGGAGCGGAAAAGGGAGUAACCCAGAAAAAGUUUCAGUGAAAAGGAAUCGGAAAAGAAGGCGGAACGCGCGGUCCCUUUGCGCCGAGAGGCUGCACACCGCCGCGAACUCCUCCUCCUCCUCCUCCCCCUUGCCGCCGCCGCCCUCCCCCACGCGCGCCUCCCUCCUAAAGUUUCUCCUCACGGCCCUCGCCCUCUUUCUCUGGCCGUCUCUCGCCGUCACGGGCUCGCC
This 303-nucleotide long non-coding RNA is filed under the name Eucalyptus grandis. RNAcentral describes it as "long non-coding RNA (EGRA_LNC007734)". The record is from RNAcentral. Lineage: Eukaryota; Viridiplantae; Streptophyta; Magnoliopsida; Myrtales; Myrtaceae.